This 395-nucleotide ribosomal RNA is filed under the name uncultured soil bacterium. RNAcentral's name for it is "bacterial SSU rRNA". It matches the Rfam family "Bacterial small subunit ribosomal RNA", at positions 26 to 428 of the family's 1533-position model. The record is from RNAcentral.
AGAUUGAACGCUGGCGGCAUGCCUUACACAUGCAAGUCGAACGGCAGCACGGGAGCAAUCCUGGUGGCGAGUGGCGAACGGGUGAGUAAUAUAUCGGAACGUGCCCAGUCGUGGGGGAUAACGCAGCGAAAGCUGUGCUAAUACCGCAUACGAUCUAUGGAUGAAAGCGGGGGAUCGCAAGACCUCGCGCGAUUGGAGCGGCCGAUAUCAGAUUAGCUAGUUGGUGGGUAAAAGCCUACCAAGGCGACGAUCUGUAGCUGGUCUGAGAGGACGACCAGCCACACUGGAACUGAGACACGGUCCAGACUCCUACGGGAGCAGCAGUGGGGAAUUUUGGACAAUGGGCGCAAGCCUGAUCCAGCAAUGCCGCGUGCAGGAUGAAGGCCUGGUUGUAA